GAUGAACGCUGGCGGCGUGCUUAACACAUGCAAGUCGAACGGAAAGGCUCCUGCUUUCAGGGGUACUCGAGUGGCGAACGGGUGAGUAACACGUGUGUGAUCUGCCCAUCACUUCGGGAUAAGCCUGGGAAACUGGGUCUAAUACCGGAUAGGACGAUGGUUUGGAUGCCAUUGUGGAAAGAUUUUCCGGUGUGGGAUGAGCUCGCGGCGUAUCAGCUUGUUGGUGGGGUAAUGGCCAACCAAGGCGUCGACGGGUAGCCGGCCUGAGAGGGUGUACGGCCACAUUGGGACUGAGAUACGGCCCAGACUCCUACGGGAGGCAGCAGUGGGGAAUAUUGCACAAUGGGCGCAAGCCUGAUGCAGCGACGCCGCGUGCGGGAUGACGGCCUUCGGGUUGUAAACUCCUUUCGCUAGGGACGAAGCGCAAGUGACGGUACCUGGAGAAGAAGCACCGGCUAACUACGUG
RNAcentral lists this ribosomal RNA (466 nucleotides) under uncultured bacterium. RNAcentral's name for it is "partial 16S ribosomal RNA". It matches the Rfam family "Bacterial small subunit ribosomal RNA", at positions 28 to 507 of the family's 1533-position model. The record is from RNAcentral.